RNAcentral lists this long non-coding RNA (248 nucleotides) under Phoenix dactylifera (date palm). RNAcentral's name for it is "long non-coding RNA (PDAC_LNC022135)". The record is from RNAcentral. Lineage: Eukaryota; Viridiplantae; Streptophyta; Magnoliopsida; Arecales; Arecaceae.
CGAUGGUUGGCAGGUCGACUCCAAAGAAAGCGAGAGUCGACUCUCAGUGGUUCACAAGGCAAAAGUCAGAGAGCAGUUUUCGGACUCUGAGAUUCGAGUCGACUCCCGCAAUGCGCGAGUCGACUCCGUUACAGCGCGAUCCCAAAAAGACAGAAGACCAAAUUAUUGUCUCUGAGAGCCGAGUCGACUCCCAGACAGCUCGAGUCGACUCCAAGGCAGAAGGGUAUGUUUCGGAAACUGAGAGCCGA